GGUUAACACUUUAAGUCUCACAUCCCAGGGAACCCCUCCAGUCCGGGCAAACUGGGUUGGUGGUCACCCUCCCAACCAUCUGUGUGCAUUUUUUGGUGACCAUACUGUCAUUAAAGAACUUUUCCAAAAUGCUCCCACAUAUAAAAUGCUGGACUGUGAGGUACAAAGGUGUACAAAGAUAAAGGGGAACAACGGCAAAUGGUUUUCCUCCUCCCUUUCUGGAAAUUCUUCAGAUGUUGCUUUGGAGUACAGUUAUCUUAUUUGUUUGCUAUGUGGUUUCUAAAGGUCACUCUGGAAAGGGAUAUGCAAUGGGCAACCCACUGCAAGUUGUGGGUUGUCUUCCACAGGAGCAGCUCCAGAACAGCCCAGCUUGGAGGCAGCACAGGUCUCCCACCAGGGUGCUGUUCCCAUUUUGCCUCUCCCUUCUGUUUUCCACCUUGUUCUGGUACUCAAGUUCUGGAAGCUCUGAGAAUCAUCGACACUAAAAGUGAGCAGGCAACAGUCAGAACCUCUGUAAAAACGGCGUCCUCAGGCUUCUAA
Molecule: long non-coding RNA, 540 nt
Filed under: Zalophus californianus (California sea lion)
Lineage: Eukaryota; Metazoa; Chordata; Mammalia; Carnivora; Otariidae
Description: lncRNA (ENSZCAG00015024065.1)
Source: RNAcentral